GGGGGUUAGCGUUGUUCGGAAUUACUGGGCGUAAAGCGCACGUAGGCGGAUUAGUAAGUUAGAGGUGAAAUCCCAGGGCUCAACCCUGGAACUGCCUUUAAUACUGCUAGUCUUGAGUUCGAGAGAGGUAAGUGGAAUUCCGAGUGUAGAGGUGAAAUUCGUAGAUAUUCGGAGGAACACCAGUGGCGAAGGCGGCUUACUGGCUCGAUACUGACGCUGAGGUGCGAAAGUGUGGGGAGCAAACAGGAUUAGAUACCCUGGUAGUCCACACCGUAAACGCUGUCUACUAGCUGUUUGUGAAUUUAAUCCGUGAGUAGCGAAGCUAACGCGAUAAGUAGACCGCCUGGGGAGUACGGCCGCAAGGUUAAAACUCAAAUGAAUUGACGGGGGCCCGCACAAGCGGUGGAGCAUGUGGUUUAAUUCGAUGCAACGCGAAGAACCUUACCUACUCUUGACAUACUAGAAACUUUUCAGAGAUGAAUUGGUGCCUUCGGGAAUCUAGAUACAGGUGCUGCAUGGCU
Molecule: ribosomal RNA, 521 nt
Filed under: uncultured Pseudomonadota bacterium
Lineage: Bacteria; Pseudomonadati; Pseudomonadota
Description: bacterial SSU rRNA
Rfam family: Bacterial small subunit ribosomal RNA
Source: RNAcentral